ACGGAGGGGGCUAGCGUUGUUCGGAAAUACUGGGCGUAAAGCGAACGUAGGCGGCUUGGCAAGUCAGGGGUGAAAUCCCAGUGCUCAACACUGGAACUGCCUUUGAAACUGCCAGGCUUGAAUCCUGGAGAGGCGAGUGGAAUUCCGAGUGUAGAGGUGAAAUUCGUAGAUAUUCGGAAGAACACCAGUGGCGAAGGCGACUCGCUGGACAGGUAUUGACGCUGAGGUUCGAAAGCGUGGGGAGCAAACAGG
This 252-nucleotide ribosomal RNA is filed under the name uncultured bacterium. Its description in RNAcentral is "partial 16S ribosomal RNA". It matches the Rfam family "Bacterial small subunit ribosomal RNA", at positions 525 to 776 of the family's 1533-position model. The record is from RNAcentral.